Long non-coding RNA from Trachemys scripta elegans, 2261 nucleotides. RefSeq lists it as uncharacterized. The transcript is spliced from 3 exons. The record is from RefSeq and is a predicted model, not a curated record. NCBI's taxonomy places the organism in Eukaryota, Metazoa, Chordata, Testudines, Emydidae.
GGCUCGGGCUGGAGGAGGCGGCCCUGGGGGUGGAGCCCGCCCCGCCCGGCGAGCUGGCGGAGCCAACUCCGCCUGGCACCCCGGAGGGGGGGGGGUAAGAGCAACGAGCGGGGAACGAGGCACCAGACCCCGGCUCCAAAGCCCCCCAGCCCUUCACAGCGGCGCAGCCCCGCUCCAGCCACGCCACGUACCGCCUGGGGAAACCAACCGCCGCGUACAGUCAGUGCAGAGCCUGAGCAGCGAGCGCCCCCGGCCCUGCGCCCCGCAGGUGUGCAUGUACCUCCGAGCACAGUCGUCAGAGAUUUUUGCUCUGCUGACGUCCAGAGAGUGCAAUCUAUGCUCCUCUUCAGACUUAUGAAGCUUUGGGAAGAAGACUGGCAAGAAUAUGUCCUGGCUCACAUGAAACAACCUGGUAGGAAAGCUGGGUGCAGCUGCAGGUGGACUUUGUCCUUGAAAAACACCAUAUAGGGUGGCUCCAAGGUAAGCGCCCUAAUCUCAGAAAACCUACAAGCAGACGUUAUUGCUACCAGGAAUGACACCUUCCAGGAGAGAAGAAGAGAACAGGAAGCCAAUGGCUCGAAUGGGGCACCCAUGAGCUGUGCCAGCACUAGAUUCAGGUCUGAAGGAGGGAUGGGGUCCUGGACAUGGGGAUAGAGUCACUCAGACCCUUCAAGAACCGGACUGUCAUGUCGUGAGUGAAGACCAAGCUGCCCUGGACUGGAGGGUGAAAGGCUGAUAUAGUGGCCAAGUGGACCUUAAUUGAUGAAAGGGAUAAGCCCUGGAGCUUAAGAUGUAGAAGGUAGUCCAGAAUUGAUUGCAGCGAGGACUGCUCAGGCCUAAUACCCUGGUCCAAGGCGAGAAGGUCCUGCUGAGGUGAUCUGCUAGUAUGUUCCUGCUCCCCUGGAGGCCACAAGAUGAAUGGCAUGCUGCACACAGAAGUCCCAGAGCUGGAGAGCUUUCUGGCAAAGGGCUGUCAAUCUGGCUCCGCACUGCUUGUUGAUAUAAAACAUUGCAGCAGUGUUGUCCAUCAGGACUUGUACUACCUUGCCCUUCAAGUGGGACCAGAAAGCGCGACAGGCCAAACCAACUGCUCUGAGCUCCCUGAUAUUUAUGUGGAGGGAGCGACUGUCCCAUGAUCAGCGACCUUGCAUGCUGAGCUCAACCUCAAGCCCAGGCCCAAGGCAUCGGAAACCAGGGUCAGCAACGAGGCCAGGGCUGUGAAGGGAACCCCCUCCAACACUGAUUUGGGGUCCAACUACCAUCCCAGUGACAACCAGAUGUGGUCCAGCAUCCUGACUACCAGGUCUAGAUCAUGCUUGUUGCAGGUGUAGACCUGACGUCAGCUACGCUUGCGGCGGCCGGAGAUGGAGCCGGACAUGACGGACCACGUAAGUACAAGCUGCCAUGUGACCUAACCACCUCAAGCAGGAGCGGGCGGUAGUGAGUGGGUGGCCCCUUAUAUGGGAGAUCUAGUCCGACAUGGCUUGGAAAUGGGCCUCCAGAAGGAAGGCUCUUGCCUGCAUGGAGUUGAGGACCGCCCCUAUGAACUCUAUCCAUUGCACCAGUUUCUUUUAGUUUACUAAUAGGCCCAGGUCGUGACAGGUAGAACACACCAGAUAAAGACUUCUCUGCACUUGAUCCUGUGAUCUGCCCUUGAUGAGCCAAUCAUCGAGAUAAGGAUAGACUUGGACUCCUCGACGUCUCCGACCCCUGUUAAGAUUGCCACAGCCUUGGUGAUGGGAGUGGCCAGAACUGCUUCCUCGCUGACUGAGACGUAUGGAGACCCAGCAAGCGGAAGGUGGCCCAAGUGUCCUUUAGCCCAUACAGCCUCGCAUCUUUCCAACCCCAUCAAACAGGAGGUCCUACAUUGAGGACUGCAUCUCCUGGGACAAGCCCCCAGUCUCAGGCCAAGAACUGCACCUCAUGAUCACUGCUGAAGCGACCAGCCUGGCCGUCGAAUCAGCUACGUCCCACACCAUUUGGAGGGAGCACUGUGCCUCUGUAAUACCCUCCUAAAUAAGGGACCCAAAUUCUUGGGCUGAGUCCUGGGGUAGGGAGUCCCAUAAGUUAAAGUUUUAUCUCCCCCAAAAGAACCUAGUGGUUUGCGACCCUGAACUGAAGGCUGGCCGUGGAAUAAAUUUUCCUUCAAAAAAUCCUCUUGGCCUUAUUGCUGCUGGCGGUAACUCUGCCUUCAGAGCUGGGCUCCCAGCCAGCAGCCACGACCUCAAGGCUGCCCAGCUCUGAAGGCAGGGCCGCUGCCA